RNAcentral lists this unclassified non-coding RNA (421 nucleotides) under Parakeelya pickeringii. RNAcentral's name for it is "Calandrinia pickeringii partial miscellaneous RNA". The record is from RNAcentral. Lineage: Eukaryota; Viridiplantae; Streptophyta; Magnoliopsida; Caryophyllales; Montiaceae.
GCAUUAACGUAAUGGUCAUAAUUUCCCUCUAGAMCUAGCUGCUAUCGAAGCUCCNUCUACAAAUGGAUAAAAUUUCGUUCUUAGUUUCGUUUUAGUGUAUACGAGUUAUUGAAAGUAAAGGGGCAGUACCUGUUUCUUGACAGAUCAAGAAAUUGGUUAUUGCUCCUUUACUAGUUAGUCUUUUUUGUUUUCUUUUUAUUAUUUUAUGAUUCACCCUAAGUAUUUAAAAUUUUUAAUUUUCUUAGGAUAAAAUUUUAUUUAGUAUUCAAUGAAAUAAAAAUAAUAGAAUUUCUAUAUGAUAGCGUCUUUAUAACCUUUUUCGUUUUAGGGUAGGGGGUUUAAUUGAAAUUUUUUGUUGAAUUUCAAUUCAGAAUUAACCMCMGACAAUAAACAAUUAAUCMUUAAUCGUUUUUUUUUUUAA